RNAcentral lists this ribosomal RNA (468 nucleotides) under uncultured bacterium. Its description in RNAcentral is "partial 16S ribosomal RNA". It matches the Rfam family "Bacterial small subunit ribosomal RNA", at positions 28 to 507 of the family's 1533-position model. The record is from RNAcentral.
GACGAACGCUGGCGGCGUGCUUAACACAUGCAAGUCGAACGGAAAGGCCCUGCGUUUGUGGGGUGCUCGAGUGGCGAACGGGUGAGUAACACGUGAGUAACCUGCCCUUGACUUUGGGAUAACUUCAGGAAACUGGGGCUAAUACCGGAUAGGAGCUCCUGCUGCAUGGUGGGGGGUGGAAAGUUUCGGCGGGUGGGGAUGGACUCGCGGCUUAUCAGCUUGCUGGUGGGGUAGUGGCUUACCAAGGCUUUGACGGGUAGCCGGCCUGAGAGGGUGACCGGCCACAUUGGGACUGAGAUACGGCCCAGACUCCUACGGGAGGCAGCAGUGGGGAAUAUUACACAAUGGGCGGAAGCCUGAUGCAGCAACGCCGCGUGCGGGAUGACGGCCUUCGGGUUGUAAACCGCUUUCGCCUGUGACGAAGCGUGAGUGACGGUAAUGGGUAAAGAAGCACCGGCUAACUACGUG